GGAGGAACAGAUGGUGCAGGUGGUCCUGGAGGACCUGGAGGUCCUGGAGGUCCCUGUGGCCCAUCAAGUCCUGGUUGUCCAGGAAUGGAAACACCAGGUAAACCUGGAUCUCCCUUCUGUCCUCUCUCACCAGGUAAGCCAGGUGGGCCAGGAGGUCCAACAGUAGUGAUCCCUGGAGAACCUGGCAAGCCAGGUGGGCCUGGCCUACCAGAGAAUCCACGCUCCCCUUUGGCUCCCGGGAGCCCUGGCAAUCCUUUGCUACCUUUUGGUCCCACUGUUGCAUCAAUGCCUGGUCUUGUAAUGACACUCCCAGGAGGGCCAGGAGGACCAACGUCACCUUUUUCACCCUUUUCACCAUCUCUUCCUGGAACACCGUUGACUCCAGGUCCACCAGGUAAACCAUCCCUACCAGGCUGACCAGGUUCUCCAUCUUUGCCCGGCUUUCCUCUUUUGCCUGGUUCUCCUUGCUCACCUUUUUCACCUUUUAUGCCACCGGGAAGACCAGGAGGGCCUUGUGGCCCAGGAAGUCCUGGUGGGCCUGGAUCACCUGGAAUACCCUGAUCUCCUUUCUGAAACUCAAUGUCAUUUGGUCUCUUCUGUUCUCCAAUUUGUCCUGGUGGCCCUGGAGGUCCUUGAAGACCUUGUUCACCUUUUUCACCUUUAGGUCCUUGGAAAUUCAAGCCCAUAUUACCCUUAGGUCCUGGCAGUCCUG
Molecule: long non-coding RNA, 712 nt
Filed under: Gallus gallus (chicken)
Lineage: Eukaryota; Metazoa; Chordata; Aves; Galliformes; Phasianidae
Source: RNAcentral